RNAcentral lists this ribosomal RNA (253 nucleotides) under uncultured bacterium. Its description in RNAcentral is "partial 16S ribosomal RNA". It matches the Rfam family "Bacterial small subunit ribosomal RNA", at positions 524 to 776 of the family's 1533-position model. The record is from RNAcentral.
UACGUAGGAGGCAAGCGUUGUCCGGAAUUACUGGGCGUAAAGCGUGCGUAGGCGGUUUGUUAAGUCCGCUGUGAAAGCCCUGGGCUCAACCUGGGAAUUGCAGUGGAUACUGGCAAGCUAGAGUGCGGUAGAGGGGGAUGGAAUUCCGCGUGUAGCAGUGAAAUGCGUAGAUAUGCGGAGGAACACCGAUGGCGAAGGCAAUCCCCUGGACCUGUACUGACGCUCAUGCACGAAAGCGUGGGGAGCAAACAGG